This 541-nucleotide ribosomal RNA is filed under the name Streptomyces cinereoruber. RNAcentral's name for it is "bacterial SSU rRNA". It matches the Rfam family "Bacterial small subunit ribosomal RNA", at positions 66 to 624 of the family's 1533-position model. The record is from RNAcentral. Lineage: Bacteria; Bacillati; Actinomycetota; Actinomycetes; Kitasatosporales; Streptomycetaceae.
ACGAUGAAGCCCUUCGGGGUGGAUUAGUGGCGAACGGGUGAGUAACACGUGGGCAAUCUGCCCUUCACUCUGGGACAAGCCCUGGAAACGGGGUCUAAUACCGGAUACGACCCGCCGAUGCAUGUCGGUGGGUGGAAAGCUCCGGCGGUGAAGGAUGAGCCCGCGGCCUAUCAGCUUGUUGGUGGGGUAACGGCCCACCAAGGCGACGACGGGUAGCCGGCCUGAGAGGGCGACCGGCCACACUGGGACUGAGACACGGCCCAGACUCCUACGGGAGGCAGCAGUGGGGAAUAUUGCACAAUGGGCGCAAGCCUGAUGCAGCGACGCCGCGUGAGGGAUGACGGCCUUCGGGUUGUAAACCUCUUUCAGCAGGGAAGAAGCGCAAGUGACGGUACCUGCAGAAGAAGCGCCGGCUAACUACGUGCCAGCAGCCGCGGUAAUACGUAGGGCGCAAGCGUUGUCCGGAAUUAUUGGGCGUAAAGAGCUCGUAGGCGGCUUGUCACGUCGGGUGUGAAAGCCCGGGGCUUAACCCCGGGUCUGC